UACCCCGCUGAAUUUAAGCAUAUCAGUAAGCGGAGGAAAAGAAACUAACCAGGAUUCUCCCAGUAACGGCGAGUGAACGGAGAUUAGCCCAUCACCGAAGUCCGGUGCUUUUGCAUACAGGACAAUGUGGUGUUUAAGCUUGUACCUGGAAUCGCGAACCUACCCGAAGUCCAACUCCGAUUGUGGCUUGGAUUGUGCCCAUAGCGGGUGAUAGGCCCGUACGGGUAGGUUGUUGUGCUUUUAGCGGUUCUCAGAUGUGCUUGCUUUCGAGUCGGAUUGCUUGAGAAUGCAGUCCAAAGUGGGUGGUAAACUCCAUCCAAGGCUAAAUACUGGCACGAGUCCGAUAGUAGACAAGUACCGUGAGGGAAACUUGAAAAGUACUCUGAAGAGAGAGUAAACAGUACGUGAAGCCGGUUGCAGGGAAGCUGGUGGAGUCAAGCUUCAUGCUUGAAGGAUUUGUAUCAGCAGUAUUGUGUUGUAUUAAUAUGAGAGUGAUCAACUUGUAAUAAGUUGGGCGCAUUCGUGUGCUUCAAGUCAUUCCGGGUUGUGUGUUUGUUAUCACUCUCAUUUUUUUGCUGCUGGUGUUCUAUCCUUCUUUGCAUAAAUCAUGGUCGAUAGCAUGUAUUCGCGUGUUGUAUGAUUGUCUAACUGUGCUUUGGCAGGCAUCCGUUUGUCGGGCACAGGAUGGCAGGUUGUGGCUUCAGUUCCUUGUGUUCUGUUAGUCGCUUAUAGUGGUUUCGACC
Molecule: ribosomal RNA, 743 nt
Filed under: Euryhaliotrema fastigatum
Lineage: Eukaryota; Metazoa; Platyhelminthes; Monogenea; Dactylogyridea; Ancyrocephalidae
Description: partial 28S ribosomal RNA
Rfam family: Eukaryotic large subunit ribosomal RNA
Source: RNAcentral